GACGAGUUUGAUCAUGGCUCAGGAUGAACGCUAGCGGCAGGCCUAAUACAUGCAAGUCGAACGGAUAUAUGUUUUUCGGAAUAUAUAUUAGUGGCGCACGGGUGAGUAACACGUACAUAACUUGCCCUCAAGCGGGGGAUAGCCUUGGGAAACUGAGAGUAAUACCCCAUAGAAUUAUUGGACGGCAUCGUUUGAUAAUUAAAACUACGGUGUUUGGGGAUAGAUGUGCGUCUGAUUAGCUAGUUGGUGAGGUAACUGCUCACCAAGGCGACGAUCAGUAGGGGGCGUGAGAGCGUGGCCCCCCCACACGGGUACUGAGACACGGACCCGACUCCUACGGGAGGCAGCAGUAAGGAAUAUUGGUCAAUGGAGGGAACUCUGAGCCAGCCAUGCCGCGUGAAGGAUGACGGCCCUCUGGGUUGUAAACUUCUUUUGGAUGGGGCGAAAAAACGGGAUUUAUCCUGGACUGACGGUACCAUCAGAAUAAGCACCGGCUAACUCCGUG
Molecule: ribosomal RNA, 505 nt
Filed under: uncultured bacterium
Lineage: Bacteria
Description: bacterial SSU rRNA
Rfam family: Bacterial small subunit ribosomal RNA
Source: RNAcentral